Molecule: ribosomal RNA, 473 nt
Filed under: uncultured bacterium
Lineage: Bacteria
Description: partial 16S ribosomal RNA
Rfam family: Bacterial small subunit ribosomal RNA
Source: RNAcentral
AGUGAACGCUGGCGGUAGGCCUAACACAUGCAAGUCGAACGGCAGCACAGUAAGAGCUUGCUCUUACGGGUGGCGAGUGGCGGACGGGUUAGGAAUACAUCGGAAUCUACUUUUUCGUGGGGGAUAGCGUAGGGAAACUUACGCUAAUACCGCAUACGACCUACGGUUGAAAGCAGGGGAUCUUCUUACCUAGCGCUAUUUGAUGGGCCGAUGUCUGAUUAGCUAGUUGGCGGGGUAAAGGCCCACCAAGGCGACGAUCGGGAGCUGGUCUGUGAGGAUGACCGGCCACACUGGGACUGAGACACGGCCCAGACUCCUACGGGAGGAAGCAGUGGGGAAGAUUGCACAAGGGGCGAAAGCCUGAUGCAGCGACGCCGCGUGAGGGAUGACGGCCUUCGGGUUGUAAACCUCUGUCAGCAGGGAAGAAGCCACAAGUGACGGUACCUGCAGAAGAAGCGCCGGCUAACUACGUG